UACGUAGGAGGCAAGCGUUGUCCGGAAUUACUGGGCGUAAAGCGCGUGUAGGUGGUGGGACAAGUCUGCUGUGAAAGCGCCUGGCUUAACCGGGCGAGGUCGGCGGAAACUGUCCGACUCGAGGACGGUAGAGGGGGGUGGAAUUCCCGGUGUAGUGGCGAAAUGCGUAGAGAUCGGGAGGAACACCUGUGGCGAAGGCGGCACUCUGGGACGGUACUGACGCUGAGACGCGAAAGCGUGGGGAGCGAACAGG
This 253-nucleotide ribosomal RNA is filed under the name uncultured bacterium. RNAcentral describes it as "partial 16S ribosomal RNA". It matches the Rfam family "Bacterial small subunit ribosomal RNA", at positions 524 to 776 of the family's 1533-position model. The record is from RNAcentral.